UGCAACAAGGUUGCCCCGUGGAGUGAGUGAC
RNAcentral lists this non-coding RNA (31 nucleotides) under Rattus norvegicus (Norway rat). Lineage: Eukaryota; Metazoa; Chordata; Mammalia; Rodentia; Muridae. The record is from RNAcentral.